CACGGUAAACGAUGGAUGCCCGCUGUUUGCGAUAUACUGUGAGCGGCCAAGAGAAAUCGUUAAGCAUCCCACCUGGGGAGUACGCCGGCAACGGUGAAACUCAAAGGAAUUGACGGGGGCCCGCACAAGCGGAGGAACAUGUGGUUUAAUUCGAUGAUACGCGAGGAACCUUACCCGGGCUUGAACUGCAGCUGAACGAUUCAGAGAUGAUGAGGCCCUUCGGGGCAGCUGUGGAGGUGCUGCAUGGUUGUCGUCAGCUCGUGCCGUGAGGUGUCGGCUUAAGUGCCAUAACGAGCGCAACCCCUUUCGUCAGUUGCCAUCAGGUUAUGCUGGGCACUCUGGCGACACUGCCACCGUAAGGUGUGAGGAAGGUGGGGAUGACGUCAAAUCGGCACGGCCCUUACGUCCGGGGCUACACACGUGUUACAAUGGGUGGUACAGAGAGUCGGUCGCAGGCAAUUGCGGUCUAAUCAUGAAAGCCAUCCUCAGUUCGGAUUGGGGUCUGCAACCCGACC
This 515-nucleotide ribosomal RNA is filed under the name uncultured bacterium. RNAcentral describes it as "bacterial SSU rRNA". It matches the Rfam family "Bacterial small subunit ribosomal RNA", at positions 798 to 1317 of the family's 1533-position model. The record is from RNAcentral.